RNAcentral lists this unclassified non-coding RNA (215 nucleotides) under air metagenome. RNAcentral describes it as "partial contains small subunit ribosomal RNA, internal transcribed spacer 1, and 5.8S ribosomal RNA". The stretch from base 1 to 46 matches the Rfam family "Eukaryotic small subunit ribosomal RNA", at positions 1786 to 1831 of the family's 1831-position model. The record is from RNAcentral.
AAGUCGUAACAAGGUUUCCGUAGGUGAACCUGCGGAAGGAUCAUUACAGUUGGGGCCCCGCCCCGAUCAAGAUACCACCCCUUGCUUUUUGAGUACCUCUGUUUCCUCGGCGGGCUCGCCCGCCAACGGGGACCACAAAGAAACCUCUUGCAGUUGCAGUAAACGUCAAAAAUCAAAACAAAUCAAAACUUUCAACAACGGAUCUCUUGGUUCUG